This 488-nucleotide ribosomal RNA is filed under the name uncultured bacterium. RNAcentral describes it as "partial 16S ribosomal RNA". It matches the Rfam family "Bacterial small subunit ribosomal RNA", at positions 28 to 507 of the family's 1533-position model. The record is from RNAcentral.
GACGAACGCUGGCGGCGGGCUUAACACAUGCAAGUCGAACGGAAAGGCCCUGCUUUUGUGCGGUUCUCGAUUGGCGAACGGGUGAGUAACACGUGAGUAACCUGCCCUUGACUUUGGUAUAACUUCAGGAAACUGGGGCUAAUACCGGAUAGGAGCUCCUGCUGCAUGGUGGGGGUUGGAAAUUUUGGGCGGUUGGGGAUGGACUCGCGGCUGAUCAGCUUGUUGGCGGGGUAAUGGCUUACCAAGGCGACGAUCGGUAGCUGGCCUGAGAGGGUGAUCGGCCACACUGGAACUGAGACACGGUCCAGACUCCUACGGGAGGCAGCAGUGGGGAAUAGUGGACAAUGGGCGCAAGCCUGAUCCAGUGAUACCGCGUGUGUGAAGAAGGCCUUCGGGUUGUAAAGCCGUUUUGUUGGGAAAGAAAAGCAGCAGGUUAAUACCCCGCUGUUCUGACGGUACCGAAAGAAUAAGCACCGGCUAACUUCGUG